CCUACGGGAGGCAGCAGUGGGGAAUAUUGCACAAUGGGGGAAACCCUGAUGCAGCGACGCCGCGUGAGUGAAGAAGGAUUUCGGUAUGUAAAGCUCUAUCAGCAGGGAAGAAGAAAGACGGUAGCAGACGAAGAAGCCCCGGCGAACUACGUGCCAGCAGCCGCGGUAAUACGGAGGGGGCAAGCGUUAGCCGGAUUUACGGGGUCUAAAGGGAGCGGAGACGGCUGUGCCAGUCUGAAGGGAAAGCCCCGGGCUCAACCCGGGGAAUGCUUUGGAAACUGUGGAGCUAGAGUGCUGGAGAGGUAAGUGGACUUCCUUGUGUAGCGGUGAAAUGCGUAGAUAUUAGG
Molecule: ribosomal RNA, 347 nt
Filed under: uncultured bacterium
Lineage: Bacteria
Description: partial 16S ribosomal RNA
Rfam family: Bacterial small subunit ribosomal RNA
Source: RNAcentral